CUGAACUGUCUCACACCCAUCAGGACAGGACAGGCAGCAUUCCAUUCCAUGUACCUGUAGGUUAGGUGAUACAAAAAGGAAGAUGUGGAUCACUAACAUAAAAAUUGAUUGGUCAAAAUGAGAAUGACAUGAUAAUGGGCCAAUGGGGAAAAGUAGGUGGGAGGUGGGUACACUCUAGACUGACAGCGAACCGAAUGACACAAACAUGAACGAGAUGCGGUGUAGACAAGAAUAACAUUUCUGUCUUCAGUGGCAAACAAAAAUCCACAAUCGAACUUGGAAAUGCCAAGCCUUCUGGAGCAACCUGAAAGUGUCGUGAUGGAUCACUUUCCUAAGAAGAGGCCCCUGUCUGAAGGGAGCGAUGUGAACUCUCCCAGCAACACAGACAGUUCUUCUGAUAGAUGCCCUCCUGAGGAGGACGUGCCUGCUACAUCAAACAUAUCCCAGAGUGAGGAGAACGAGAACCACCAAUGCUAAAAUUAAAGCAGGAAGCACCAGUGACUCGAUCUAUAAAAAAGUGGUCAGAUGAAGCAGAUGCUAAACUACAGGACUAUUUUGCUAGCACGGACUGGAAUAUGUUCCGGGAUUCUUCCGAUGGCAUUGAGGAAUACACCACAUCAGUCACCGGCUUUAUCAAUAAGUGCAUCGAGGACGUCGUCCCCACAGUGACUGUACGUACAUACCCUAACCAAAAGCCGAUGUAUGACCUUUAAACAGGUCAACAUUCACAAGGCCGCAGGGCCAGACGGAUUACCAGAAUGUGUACCGCGAGCAUGCGCUGACAAACUGGCAAGUGUCUUCACUGACAUUUUCAACCUCUCCCUGUCCGAGUCUGUAAUACCAACAUGUUUUAAGCAGACCACCAUAGUCCCUGUGCCCAAGAACACCAAGGUAACCUGCCUAAAAGACUACUGACCCGUAGCACUCAUGUCUGUAGCCAUGAAGUGCUUUAAAAGGCUGUUCAUUGCUCACGUCAACACCAUCAUCCCAGAAACCCUAGACCCACUCCAAUUUGCAUACCACCCCAACAGAUCCACAGAUGAUGCAACCUCCAUUGCACUCCCUUGCCCUUUCCCACCUGGAC
This 1084-nucleotide long non-coding RNA is filed under the name Salmo salar (Atlantic salmon). RNAcentral's name for it is "lncRNA (ENSSSAG00000091064.1, ENSSSAG00000120307.1)". Lineage: Eukaryota; Metazoa; Chordata; Actinopteri; Salmoniformes; Salmonidae. The record is from RNAcentral.